This 810-nucleotide long non-coding RNA is filed under the name Mytilus galloprovincialis (Mediterranean mussel). The record is from RNAcentral. Lineage: Eukaryota; Metazoa; Mollusca; Bivalvia; Mytilida; Mytilidae.
CAGUUUGUCAUCGCAACUCCUCUCAAACCACACAACAGAAUUUCACGAAACCUUUUCAGAUAAAAGGACAUACUAUGUAGUUGUGGCAUAUCGAUGGGAAAUUGCGAUUCAAUUUUUUUCUAGGAGUUACGCCCUUUGAACUUAUUUACUUUAAUGUACUACUGCAACAGUUUGUCAUCGCAACUCCUCUCAAACCACACAACAGAAUUUCACGAAACCUUUUCAGAUAAUAAGGACAUACUACGUAGUUGUGCAUAUCGACGGGAAAUUGCGAUUCAAUUUUUUUUCUAGGAGUUACGCCCCUUUGAACUUAUUUACUUUAAUGUACUACUGCAACAGUUUGUCAUUGCAACUCCUCUCAAACCACACAACAGAAUUUCACGAAACCUUUUCAGAUAAUAAGGACAUACUAUGUAGUUGUGCAUAUCGACAGGAAAUUACGAUUCAAUUUUUUUUCUAGGAGUUAUGCCCCUUUGAACUUAUUUACUUUAAUGUACUACUGCAACAGUUUGUCAUCGCAACUCCUCUCAAACCACACAACAGAAUUUCACGAAACCUUUUCAGAUAAUGAGGACAUACUAUGUAGUUGUGCAUAUCGACGGGAAAUUGCUAUUCAAUUUUUUUUCUAGGAGUUAUGCCCCUUUGAACUUAUUUACUUUAAUGUACUACUGCAACAGUUUGUCAUCGCAACUCCUCUCAAACCACACAACAGAAUUUCACGAAACCUUUUCAGAUAAUAAGAACAUACUACGUAGUUGUGCAUAUCGACGGGAAAUUGCGAUUCAAUUUUUUUCUAGGAGUUACGCCCCU